Molecule: long non-coding RNA, 33010 nt
Filed under: Ananas comosus (pineapple)
Lineage: Eukaryota; Viridiplantae; Streptophyta; Magnoliopsida; Poales; Bromeliaceae
Description: long non-coding RNA (ACOM_LNC029161)
Source: RNAcentral
ACGGUGUACAUUUAAAUGGUUCCGGUGAGGUUGCGUUGGAAUGUAACAUACCGGAUUUUAAGUCUAAAGGUGAAAAUAAAUAAAAAUAGUAUGAAAUACUAUUUUAUUGGGUUUAGAGAAGUGAAAUAUAGAUUGAAAAUGACCUGUACUGAAAUCGGAGCGAAAACAGAAGAUUUAGAAUUUUCUGUAAGAAACGGGGCAAAUAAAUUAGCAGAAAAUGCACAGUGUCAGAAAAUUAUAAAAACUGAAGGAUAUGUCAAAAAAUAUUUUUAUGAGGUUAGAUUUAAAGUUUCAUAACAUUCUGACACCCGUAGAGUGAGAAAUAAAAUCCGACAGUCAUCUGAUAAAGAUUACAAUUCGGUACAGUUUUCGGUGACUAAACGGGGUCGAAACUGAAAACUUAAGAUAUAUUCUUACUCAGUACAUUAAACCGAGCCUGCCUGUCAAAUUUGAGCGCAAACGGACGUUCAGAAGGGUUCCAACUGUUCCGAACUGCUAAACUGCUGUCCGAGGUGAAUAGUGUAAUUGUUGAGGGACUAAAUCGUAAAAAGGACUUAAUCCCUUCUUCUCCUCCCUCAACCGUGCGUACACAACCUGCACACACACACACACAACACACGUAUGGAAAGGAAAAGAGAAAACUCUCCCUUUCUCUCUCUAAAUCUCUCCCAAAAUUGAUGAAUUUGGUGGAGAAGCAAGCUUGGAAGCUGAUCUUCAUCUCCUUCACCUUCUUCCUCUCCAUUGGAGCUUGCUUCAGAGGUAAGCUUCAAACCCCUCAAUUUUUCACCUCUUACACAGCCCUCACUGGGCAUUCUGCGCGCUAAGGGACCGGUCUCCCCGACCUGGGACCGGUCCCCGGGGCCUCCCCCCGCGGACACGCGUUCGGGAACCGGUCCCUCCCCGAGAGACCGGUUCCCGGGAGACCGGUUCCUCUCAGAGAGACCGGUUCCCGAGAGCUGAACCUUUGGGACUUAGCCGAUUUUCGGCUCUUCUCACUGGUGUUGCAGGCUGGGACCGGUCCCUCCUCUGCCAGGGACCGGUUGCAUCAGCAACCCUACAGCCUUCAGUUGAUGGGACUGGUCUCUCACCUCGAGAGACUGGUCCCCGAGAGCAAUCCCAGCCCAAAAUGCAGAUUGCAUUAUUUGCUCUCGCGGACUCCAUUCCAAUGCACUUCUCGGUUUUCGUGCAUCCUUAGGUUUUCCAAAGCUUAUCCAUUCGACCCUUAGUCGAUUCUAGACGAGGUGCAACCCUUGGAUUUCGAGAGUUUACAUCGUUACAUUCUCCCCUCCUUAAAAGAGUUUCGUCCUCGAAACUCACUCAUUCUCACCCUCUUUUAUUCCUCGGUCCACUCCUCGAGUACUCAAGGGUUCCAAUGCACUUUUGUACUUUGGAGUGGCCUUUAUUCUCAUCGAACUCAUCUAAAGGCCCACGACGAAGAAUGUGAGACCACGUUUACUCACAUUUUCCUCUUGCAACAUUAAAAGUGCAUUAUCACUCUGCAAACCUCAAUGGCGGUGUGAGUCAAUACUUAAGACCCCACACGCUAACAUCACUAGCCACUCGGCUAGAGAAGGACCUAUUCCCUCGCGGUUCUAGCGAACAUCAUCACCGUUCGAGAUCAGGGCUACCCUUUCAUCCCUGUCACGCCCCGGGACCCGGCCUAGGCCCGCCCGGUGCGUAUCCAGACCCGCCAUAUGCCUACACAUAUAAGGCGUCUACAACAAUAGCGAAUAAAUGAACAACAAAUAGAGUGUAUCUAAAGAUAUCAGAGCAAGUAUACAGCUAAGUUCUUAAGCUUGUUGAACAAUCAGGUGGGAGAAUACAAGGAAAAACUUCAAUUAACCAUACCUAUAGUCGGCAAAACGAGGGUGUGUUUAAAAUAAAAUACUAUCGACAAGUCUAAGCUACAUAUAAGGGGGGUCUCUACAAAAAUGGUACAAGUCUCAAUCCUGCUCCAAACUAUCAAUCGCUGAAUAGGAGAGGUUACCUACCAUCGAGCUCGUAAUAUCCUCGCCUAGCUAACUCGGUGAAAAAGAAUGACCGUUUGCACGAGAUCGCCAUUCUCUCCAUAUUUCCUGCCCCGUCUGGUUGGAUCCCGAGCCAUCUUCUGCCUCUGGGUGAAAAUGGGAGAGGCUGAUCUGAAAUGGAAAACGAGUGGAACAAUCAGUGGAGGGCCUGGGAGCAACUAUAAUUUAUAGUUCCAGGGGUGGGGACAAUGUAAUCUGUAGCAUUAGCUAAAAUGCGAAUCCACUAGGGCACUAGAUCAAGAGGACAACCAGUGAGCAGAUAUAGAAAAAUUGAAAUACAAACUGCCAGAAAUAAAAGCACAUAUUAAAGAAAAUGGUCUAUACUGCGAUGCCACAAGUAUUAUGUGAUAAGAACAUGGUUAGCUUACUUUACUUCUAUCAUCCAUAUACGCAAUACAUACAUACUAUGUUCUAUCACGGCUAACCAAAGUAUGCUAUGAUGCAACAAGUAACAAUAGUUAGUCAUCGGUUCCUUCCUUGAUGCUUUAUACAUGUCCAAAUGUGUCAAUACUAUUGCUUGAAAAGUGCAUGUCUCAAGUAAACAACUACUAAGCCUAUCUAGUAGUGGUUAUUGUUAUAAAGUUAAUGUCAUUGUUCAAUCUUGUUUAGGACUACAGAAGUGUAGUCACGGUUGUGCCGCCUAGCUGCCUGUGGUAGCCACUCAUUCCACGCUAUGAAAGAGCUGUCCCGACAACGACCCUAAGGCGCCUGCGCCUAGCUGGCCCGUUUGGUUAGAUCGCUCNNNNNNNNNNNNNNNNNNNNNNNNNNNNNNNNNNNNNNNNNNNNNNNNNNNNNNNNNNNNNNNNNNNNNNNNNNNNNNNNNNNNNNNNNNNNNNNNNNNNAUUCUAAGCUUAGGAUCCACAGCUAUCCCAGUUUCAGAAUCACAUGGCCUAGAAAUGCCACUUCUCGAAGCCAAAAUUCGCAUUUCUUUAACUUUGCAAACAGUUUCUUUUCUCGAAGUACUUGUAACACCGCUCUCAAAUGGUCUUCAUGUUCCAUGUCACUACGAGAAUAUAUCAAGAUGUCAUCAAUAAACACUACGACAAAUCUGUCCAAAUAGGGCUUAAAGACACGGUUCAUUAAAUCCAUAAAAGCUGCUGGGGCAUUAGUCAAUCCAAACAGCAUGACUGUAAAUUCAUAAUGCCCAUACCGUGUUCUAAAGGCGGUUUUAGAAACAUCUUCAGGCUUGAUCUUGAGCUGAUGAUAGCCUGAUUGCAAAUCAAUUUUGGAGUACACUUUCGAUCCUUGCAGCUGAUCGAAUAAGUCAUCAAUUCUAGGCAAUGGAUAUUUAUUCUUGAUUGUGACUUUGUUGAUUUCUCGAUAGUCCACGCACAAUCGAAGAGAUCCAUCAUUCUUCUUAACAAACAAUACCGGUGCUCCCCAGGGCGACACACUUGGUCGAAUAAAUCCUUUAUCUAGAAGAUCUUGUAACUGUGCCUUCAGCUCUUUCAAUUCAGCGGGUGCCAUCCUAUAGGGCGCUUUAGAAAUAGGGGUAGUCCCAGGGACAAGAUCUAUCACAAACUCAACCUCCCUAUCAGGUAGCAUGCCCGGCAAUUCAGCUGGAAACACAUCCCCGAAUUCUCGCACAACCGGGAUAUCAUCAAUCUUGACGGCUUCUCCGUCACUCACAGAAAUGCUAGCCAAAUAGGCUACACAUCCUCUUCGUAUCAACUGUCGUGCUCGCAAAGAGCUAAUGGUCAUUGCGAACAAUGAACUCUGACACCCCUUAUAAACAAACUCUUGCUGACCCGGUUCUCUAAAGGUUACCGUUCUGUUCGUGCAAUCUAUGGUGGCAUAAUACUGUGUCAACCAAUCCAUACCCAAUACUACAUCAAACUCACCUAGUUUGUGUAGUGCCAAUAAAUCCACUGGCAUAAUCCAGUCGCCUACCCUAACUGGGCAGCGAGGGCAAAACUCACGAACAUCUAGGGUAUGGUCAGGUACAAUCACUCGUCCCAGAUGCAAAGUAGGUGCUAAAGGAAUGCUAUGCAACUCGGCGAACUGCCGAUCAAUAAAAGAAUGCGAAGCACCAGUAUCAAAUAAUGCACGAACACGAAUAUCAUAAAGCAUAAUAAUACCUGCUACGACCUCCUGUGCUGCUGCGGCGCCCUCGGUCUGGGCGGCAUACAUCCGCCCACUCGAACCCUGCUGCGAACUCUCCGACUGCCGCUGUCCUGGUGGUCGCCUAGACUGAUAAGGCGCUGUCGGGGUCCCCUGGCUCGGAGCUGAAGAUGCAGGUGCAGUCGCUGACGAGGGUGCAGGCAAAGAACCUCUCGGGCACUCUGAACGAAAGUGGCCCUCCUGGCCGCAAAGAAAGCACCUGCCCCCACGCUGUGGACACUGUGGCGGUACGUGAGGCCCACCACAGAUAACACAACGCGGCGGUCGACGACGCUCGGGUGCUCCACGGGGUGCUGAAGAACCUCGACCCCUCGACUGUCCUGACUGUCCCCUCGGAUACUUUGGCGGUCUCCUGAAGGACUGCUGACCACUGCUCUCAGCUGCUGGUCUCUUGCCUUUGCUUCGAUCCACAACAUCUCUUUCCUUCAUGAUUUCUGCCCCCUUCUCAACAAUCAAAGCCCGGUUCACGACGUCCCGGUAAGUGGAGAGGUUUGACGCCUGGACCAAUCUGAAGAUCGCAGGUCGCAAACCCACCUCAAAAAUGCGAGCCUUGUCCUCAUCAUCUCGAACUACAAAAGGAACACAGUGCAGUAAUCGGGAGAACUCUCGCUCAUACUCUGCCACUGUCCUGUCCCCCUGCCUCAGGUUUCUCAGAUCCCUUUCCAUCUGUCUCUUUACACUCUGAGGAAAGUAAGUAGUCAACAACAGUUCCUUGAACCUGUUCCACGUAAUAGCAGACAAAUCAGCACGGGGAUCCUCCCGGAUGUCCACCCACCACCUGUAAGCCUCGCCAUCAAGGUGGUGUGUCGCAAACCAAACUCGGUACCGCUCCUCAACAAAAGUGUCAUAGAAUAGUUUCUCCAUAUGCAUUAACCAUUUUUCAACCACCCAAUGAUCUGCUUUCUCCCCAUCAAAGACACGAGGGUUGCAGCGACGGAAUUCAUUCAGUCGUUCCAUCAUCCGCUCUCGCUCCUCAACCCCCACCAUCUCGGGUAACACUGUCCCAGCUGCUGCUACAGGUACUGGUGGUGGUACUACUGUCUCCUGUCGGGUCUCUGCCCUCGGAGCUACUGGGGGUGUGUCAAGUACAGGUGACUGUGCUCUCACUGUGGUGCCCCUCUCUGGUGCUGUAGGUACAGAAUCUGGAAGUACAGAAUCUGGAAUCUCUCUGUCAGUCGUCUGCCGCAGUAACAGAUCCUCUAACCUCUUCAUCCUGUCCUCCUGUCGACGCGCAGCAUCCAUCUGCUGUCGUGCUGCCGCAGCCUGCUGAGUAACCAAAUCUGUCAACAUCGCAAGCUGAUCCUGCAACUCAUGGAUCCCACUAGAUCCCGACGUAACAGAAGUUCCCACUUCCUCUGCAUCCGCCGCCUCAGCUGCCCCGGCGGCUUGCGAACGAGUCAACGGCAUCUUAAACUGCAGCACAAAAAUAAACAUAGGUAAAUAAACCCUAUACUAUUGAAUCCUCAUUGAGGAUAUAAACCAGCUAAUCAAGCGAAAGUAAUGAAAUGUAACACGUACUAACUUCCGAGGUCACGUUGUCGGCCGCCAACGUGACCCUCUGCAAAGUGAGUACUUGCACAUCCCAAUCAAACUCCCACCAAAUGGAGUUUAUAAGUACCCAAUCAAAGCACUUUCGCUAACAACAACCUAGACUAGACAUCGUCUCUUACGUGCCUAUUCUUAUAGUCCAACCAGCCUAAGGUUUGCUAGGUCUACUAAGACUCAACCCUAGGCUCUGAUACUACUAUAAUCUGUCACGCCCAGGUACCAGCGGAAGCAUAUCCGGCACGUGCACAGACCCGCCAUACACCUGCAGUAUAUAAGGCGUCUACAAAGAAAGCAAGUUGAUAGGGAGUACAACAAAGAGAGUCCUAUCCUGAUAUCAGAGCAAUGUACAAGUCGAUAUACUAUCAGUAAAAGAACAAAGAGUACAUAAACCAAAGUCUCAGCAAAAGGAGAAAAAAGCAAAAACUAUAACAUCUGGAUCUACAACCUAUAUACAAUAUAGGGUAUACAAAUAUAUCUGUACAAAGGUAGUCACUCUAUAUAAUGGACAUCACCCUCGGCCGUAGCCCGAGUAGCAAGGUGAUCGACUAGCAUGCUCCUAGCAAAGUCUAGCUAGACGCGACUCCCUUGCCACGAUCCCUAGCCUCUCCUGUAGAUGGCUCUGUAAAAACAACCACCAAAAGGGCGUGAGAACUAUUAACAAUAGUUCCCAGUGGGUAAGCCGCCAGCCUCAGCGAAUUACACCACUAGGCUCAUGAUGUACUGAAAUAAAGAAAAGCAGUAACUGCAUGAUAUAUAAGUAUGCAAUGCUAACAGGUAGUGAGCAUCUAAUAUGCAUGUAAACAACUUGUAAUAAUAUGUAAUAGCUUUCUACAGUAAUGAAUCAUUUGCAUAAUAGGGAUAUGGCAAUCUCUGUAAUCAUGAACAUAGACGUGAAUAUGAGCACGAACAUGUAAGUGACUACUGUACACUUUAAUUAAUAAGCAUUCAUUACUGUCCUUUUUCAUUGAGUACUAUCCUUUCAUUCACAGGGACCUACCCAAGGUAGUCCAGCUUGCGCCGCGCCUAAUGGUCCCGUGGUAGUAUACACUCCCCACGGCAAUCCACUUCGGCACCCAAUCCCGCACGGGCGAGUAACUGUCGCGUAGGCCAACUCCGGAGUGCCGGCUUGUAGGGAGCUACCCUCACAAGCGUGUGUGAAUGAGCACGAUGGCAAGCAAGCAAAGUCCAUUGUCCACAUGUCCCAAUUUUCAUAUUUUCAUUGCAAAGUUCUUACUCUCGAUCCUCUGAUCGGAAUUUCAAUACACGAAUAGUAACAAGAGCUAGUAUCCACUAGAUUGUAAACAUGUAAAGGUAAAGCUAAAUCACAUGGCAUGAUAAUCUUUCCACUAGUAUGGCACUAUCAACAUAGUCAUGAGCAUGUCAUAGUUCUCUACGAUAGAGUCAAGAGAAUGUCAUUGUUCUCUACCUUAUAAGUGCAUUCUACACUUGUUCAUAAGUCAUUCAACUGAAUUGACUACAAAUAUAAAUACUUUCAUGUGUAAGUGUUCUCUACUUUGUAGAGACUUUAUUUCAAUUAUGUUCAACAUUAUGAUGACGAAUGUCAAGCCCCUUAUUAAUCACAUAAACACACAAGAAGACCAUUUCUAUAAUACAUAUAGAACAUAGGGGAAUUUCACUUGCUCUGGUUAGGUCCGACCCACCUAGUACUAGGCUCCAAAUCAACCAAGGAGUCCCAAAAAAUCAGAUCCACUAGGUCUCAACCCUGCUGAACACAAACAUCAACACCGCGUCAAAAGAACGACCGAAAAAUCCGAUUUCUGCCUAAAUUACACGUAAUACAAAGUAAUCCCUUAAAUCCCUGUUUUGGGACUAGUGUUAUACCUCAAGAUAAGUCUUCAAGAGCUCUCACAGGUCAACUAACGAUGAUCCAAGGCUCGAUCGCACUCUCGCUGCGAACAAAAUCAAAACAACAUCAAACUCGUCAUAUAUUAGCAAUUAUAGUCGGAAUCUUGCAAUUUCAACUUCCUAACUGAAAUUCUUACUUACCUUAGGGUAGAACAACUUCCAGACCAGCUUCAACGAGUACAAAUUCAGCUCAACGAAGCCCGAAGACCUGCUGCGAAGAAAUAAUCCCCAGUUGCAUCAAGUCGCUCCAAUAAUUGCAUUAAGUUCCGAUUUAGCUUCAUAAAUGGCUAAUUCUCUCAAUUAACCUUCAAAGAAGCUUAUCCCUAGUCUAAGGAGCUUAAUUCACAGCUAAAUAAUCCAACUUUAAUUGCUGAAAUCUCAGAGUAAAGCAACUAGAAGCAAUAACGCAAAAGCAACACAUAAACGACUACUCGAACGUUGAUAAUGGAGAAAAUCGAGUCGUUUACCUCUUCAAGCUUCCAACCAGCACCUCGCUGGUCCAGAGUUGCAAAGAACCUUCCAAAAUACUCUCUCACGCGUCCACGAAAGCUCUGCGACGCUCGCAAACAGCGAAGAACAAGCGCGGCGACGAAAACGAGCGAAAUCGUCGAAUUCUAUAUAGAGAGAGAAAAACCCUAGAGAGAGAAAGAGGAGAAGGUGAAGAAACCCUUUGCUGAGCUCUAGCACACUCCACUGAAGUCCCAGAGUCGUGCUGGGAUCAAAUAGAUAGGUAUCCAAUGUGAAAAGACCAAAAUAGCCUUGCUGCCAGAUUUCUGCCAGUCUGUACCGGUACAAGGUGAUGGCUGUACCGGUACAACAAGCAGAAAAAGGCUGAUUUCGCCUGUUUGAUGCAAUUUCUCACUUUUAGCCUUCCAAUCAUCCUCUAACUUAUCCAAAAACUUGUUCUAACCUUUUAGAACAUGUAGGAUUGAUCCACACACCAUUCCACAUACUCGAACUCCGCAAUUUGCAAAAGUCCAGUAUAUUACACAACCUCUACGGUCAACCUCGUAAAGGAGGUACCUACCUAUAAGGUCAAAUCAUAUAGGGCUGAUUCAGCUGACUUAUAAGGUCAAAACCCAACAGAUAAGUAACUACCAAUCUACUAUAUCAUAUCAUCAUCAGAUGCACUAGAAUGAAUGUAAUACACUGAACUUUAGCAAAUUGCGAGGUUCUAAUGUUCGAAUAGUAUUUGGCACUAUUUUGGGUAUGUUGGAGGGUCAUAGACUGUGUUCCGACCUGUUUACUCACAUCUUGAGAAGCAAGGAUGAGUACUUAGCACCAAAGCCUCCAAACUGCAGGUUUUGGGGUGUUGGGUACCGGUACCAGAGAGGGGUACCGGAACAACGUCGCGCAACAGAGAGAUGUGCUCUCGGGUUUGAGCUCUGCGAGGUAGAGUACCGGUACUACAUCACUCGAGUAUCGGUACUGGGGCUUGGUACCGGUACUACAUCGCGUGGGUACCGGUACCCUGCGUGUUGUUCGCUUGACAGAGGCUCAGGUUUGCACGUUCGGCUGCGGGGUACCGGUACUCCAGCCCGCGUACCGGUAUGUAGUGCAGUCCACAGGCUACAUGUUUUUUAGGGUCCUUUUUGGAAUUGUAGCAACACUUUAUAUAACCCCACACCUCUUGAGUGGCUUUUUUGUGCUGGAACUAGAGCAGAAGAGAGGUGAGUCUCCCCCUUCACCUCUCUCUGAUUUCUUCUCUUUUUUUGUGAGAUUUCAUGGGUUGACCUCUCCUUUUUGCUUCUUUUUGCUUCUUUUUGCUUGGUGAUGGUUCUUCUACCUUGGAGAAGCUUUGGAUUGAGGAUUGGAGCUUGUUUGAGGAAGGAUCUCCAACCCUAGCACCUUUUAGCUUGGUUUGGAGCUUGGGAAAAAGGUUAGUAACCUUUCUACUACAGUUGAUUGUGGUCUAUGCUUGGGUUUUGGAAGAAAACCUAGUUUUGAAAAAAUUAGGUUUUUAUUUCGGGGUUUUUGAUUUGUAACCUUUGGGGUGAAUUUGAUGAGUAUAGAACUAUCUUUUAGGUUGGAUUAGAAGCAUCCUAGCCUUCAUUUGGAUUUUGGAAGAGUUUUCUACCAUCUAAGGUAAUUUUCUAUCUAUUUAUGGGUUGGAUUAUGAGAAAUUUUUGGGUGUUCGUUUGAAGCUCCUAACCCUCUUGAAAUUUUUGUUAGGGAACUAAGAGACUUGUGGACAACUCCGUUCGCGCAAAUAAAGGGGGUUGUGAGGGGUAUUCGGUGGGUUUGACCUCACCGAAAUCGGUGAACUCCUCCUAUGUUAUAUUUUGUGGUUUAAAAUGGAAAAUCAUGCAUAUUCAUGCUAGAUAGGGCAUAAAUGAAUUUUUGAAUGUCUAAAAUACAUAUGUCAUGUAUCAUGUUUUGUAACCUCUACGUAGUAGAGAGAGAAAUGUAUCGUAAGUUGCAUGUGAGGUGGCAUUGUUAUACUAUGUUGGGAAUCAUGAUUUGUUUAGUAAAAUGACAAGCUUUUACAUGCUUAUGAACAAAGAACAUAUGCUAGACAUAGAGAACAUUAAUGUUAUAGAGUGGCAUUCGACUUAGUAAACGGUUAAAUCUUUAUACUGUGACAUAGAGUUAUACCUUUGGGUUGCUAGUACUUGUACCAUAUUUUAGACAUGACGAUUGUGGAAUUGAGAUGGAUGAUUAUACUUGCUUGCCAUUGUGCUUAUUCGCACAUACUUUUGAGGGUUGCUCCCCACAAGCCAGCACUCUGGAGUUGGCCUACGCGACAUAUGCUCGUCCAUGCGGGAUUGGGUGCCUACUGGGUCGCCGUAGGAUAGUCACAUUCUUAGAGGGAAAUGCUGGACUAUCAGGGGCCAUUAAGCAACACAAGCCGGACUACGCUUGUGUAGAUCCCUAAUUGGCUCAUGAUUGGUAACAAUGUCGUUGAUUUUUCAAUUUCCAAAACGAUCAAUUUUAGCUUUGCAUUUAAUUUGUUUCUCAGGUGGUAAUAACUAGCAUGCAAAUUGCAAACAAGCUUCUUCUAAUUGGCAGUUAUCAGAAAAUAAAGGUACAAUUUAAUUUUCAUUGUUAUGUUGCUUUUUUUAAGACAUUUCGGUGCAUUAUAAAUAGAGGUUUGUACCGCAUUAGCAAAUUAGUUCUGUAUUUGAGAUCAGGGUUCUAUGUUGAUCAACGAAAGCUUAAAAUUAUUCUUCUCCAUAAAGUUGAUUGCAUUCAACUUACUAUGACAUCACAUCGCUUGAUCAUUGUAACUUUAACACUGGUCAUGUCUAGGUAACAACAAGCUCUCUUUAUUUUGUUGUUUGGAUCUACUAAUUUACUACUUUUGAUAUGAUCUUCUUUGGUGAUGUAAUAGUUCCUGACAACCAAAUGCCAAAAUUAUAGCUGAUAUUGAGGAUUUUCUAUUUUUUUUUUAAAUUACAUUUCUUCAGUUUCAGAUGGCACUACAACAUUUUGUAUUAAAGGUGGCUUUUAUCGGUACCUAUAGCGGCUUUUAGAAAAGCCGCAACAAAAGUACCGAUUUUUCUGAAAAAGCCACAAAAAAAGCCAGUGAAAACUAAGUCGGUAUAGGUCUAUGUCAAUAUAACGGCAUAUUGCGAAAGCCGCAUUUUAGUGCCUAUAGUGGCUUUUUGAAAGCCACUAUCAGCAUUCAAACUAUUGUACUAUUUUAGCCGUCUUUGAUUAUCUAUAGUGGCUUUUUGCCAAAAUACUGCAAUUUCUACAGUUUUUAAGAGCUACGGCAAUUGAAAAGCCGCCUUUUAUUAGUAUAGCGGUAUUUGGUGUGCCACAAUGCGAUAGUUUUUGUGGCUUUUCAAUGCUGUUAAUAAAAUUAUGUUGUGGCUUUUUGGAAGCUGUUAAUAUGCAUAUACAAUGACUUUUUAUAAAGCUACUAUUGAUCGAAAUAUAUGGACUUUUGAAUAUGUAUAUUAGCUAGGAAUAGUUGUAUGAAAGAUACAAUACAAAAAUGAUAUAUUCAUAGCAAAAAAGUUGUUUUAUUUAUAUAUAAGUCAAGAGUAUCGAAUGAAACCAAAAUACUAAUUGUUUCUUACAUACUCAACAUUAAUAAAAUGAUAAAAAAUUAUAAUAUCAAAAAAUAGUUUUUUAGAAAUGACACAGUUGCUCAAAACAUAAAAUGAUGCUAUGAAUAUAUCAUUUUUGUAUUGUNCUUACAUCCUCAACAUUAAUAAAAUGAUAAAAAAUUAUAAUAUCAAAAAAUAGUUUUUUAGAAAUGACACAGUUGCUCAAAACAUAAAAUGAUGCUAAAGGUCAUAGUAGGUCCAAAUACAAAAGAAAUGAUCAAGUAUCACUGGAAGGAUUUGAUAAUACUGACGUAUAGCAAGUGCCUGAAGACUCAAGAUUCUGUAACAAAAAUAAAAACUUCUUUCAAUAAAAUAAGAAUAUAGUUAAUAAUUAAAAUAUAAUGAUAAAAUCGAUAAAAUUAUCUAGAUAAAGUCAUUUUUCCUACCUGUCGACUGCCACCAAGGUUACAAUCUGGCAUUUUUUGUCUUAUAAAUUCCAUAACGUCAGCUAAUUGUGACUGCAGUUGGGAAACCAUUUUUUUACUCUCUUGCACUUCCUCUCUUAACUUUUGUACUUCUUCCGUUGAUUCCAAGUUAUAACACACACAAUGUUCAGAUGGGAUCAAUCCUAGCCCUCUUACUCGGCUGUCAUACUCUGUCACGCCCCGGGACCCAGCGGAAGCCCGCCCGGCGCGUGCCCAGACCUGCCAUACGUCUAAAACGUAUAAGGCGUCUAGAAACAACAAUAAUAAAAGCAAUAAUAAAAGACAUCUAGGAGUAUCAGAGCAAUAUAAAUGUCUAAAAGCUACAAUAAGGGUAAGGAUAAAACUGUAAAUCCACUAAAUAAAACAUAAAGUAAGUACAAAAGAAAAUCCCAAAUACAAGUGCUAAAAGUAGGUACAUAGGUGGUCUCUAUACAUGAAUACAAAAAUCUCUCUCUCUCUCAACUACAAAAAGAAAGAGUAAACCACCUAGGCAAAGUACCGCUGCUAGCUAGCUAAGCGAUCCCCUUGCCGCGAUCCCGUGCCUCCGCCGGUGCCGAAGGCUCUGAAAAGUGAACCAUAAAACAGGGGCGUGAGAACUAUUAAAAAUAGUUCCCAGUGGGCAAUUACUGACUUCAGUGAACUGCGCCACAAGGCCCAAAAGCUACAAGAAAAGGUCAGUGACUAACAAUGUAAUAAUUAAACGGUAAGUGAAAUAUAACCUACUAUAACAUAGAGUCUCCACUUAGCAUGAUUUGCAUAAGUAAUAAAUCAACUAUAACAUGAAUGUACAUGGAUGUGUAAGACAUGCAUAAGCGUAGAAAUGCAACCAAUCCAAUGUCCUCAAUGCAAAGAUAGUAAAAAUGUCGUCGUUUACUAUUCUAGUCCAAGUCCACUUUAAUAGUUUUAAAGUUCACAUAGCAUGUUCUGUCACUAAGUCCCAAUCAUAUAAGACCCACCCGAAGGCUGUCUGGCCUGCGCCGUGCCUAAUGGCCCCGUGGUAGUCAACAUCCCCACUCUAGGGAUGAGCCUCCCCCACGGCGAUCCACUUCGGCGCCCAAUCCCGCACGGCGAGCAUGUGUCGCGAUGGCUAUCUCCGGAGUGCCGGCUUGUAGGGAGCGACCCUCACAAGCAUGUGCGAAUGAGCACAAAUGGCAAGCAAGCAAUGAUCUGUCUCAAGUACCAAGUCCUCAUGUCUAAAACAUGGAAUAUGUCAAGUACCACGAUGGCCUAUCUCUAUGUCGUCAUGUCUCUAACAUGGAAUAUAGCAGAUACGUAAUGGCCUAUCAAUAUGUCUCUAUGUUGCAGUUUAAAUGUUUACUAGUUCCAAGUGCCUCUUGAUGACCCUUUUUGCUACUAAGUUCAAACAUAGUAUAAUGUUUCCCAUACAUGAACAUAAGCUAAAUUAGCAUACUAGACGAGAAUCCCAUUCGUCCACAUGAACCCACCCCACAUGCAUGACAAUAACCUUGAUUACUCUACCAUCUAGAGUGAAAUUUAACUUACACAUAGGGCAUGCAUUUUAGGGGUUCUAAAUUUCACAUAAAUUCCAAUUAGCAUAGGAAAGCAUUUAAAAAUAAGUUACGAAUAGUUUAGAAUGCACAGGGGCCAUUUCGCCCCAUUUCCAUGAAGUCAAACCCACCGAUGACGACGAAACUCCUCGUUCGCUCCAACGAGGGUGUCCCCUAGUCUCCUAGUAUCCUAGAGGUAUAGAAACAUGUGUCAAACAAGGCUCACGAACAAAGCUAAGCUCAAACAUUAAGCUUCUCUAGCUAGGUUGGAGAAAACUCACCGAAAGCUAAAGAAUCUCUCUCGAUCUCAAAAAGGGAGUUAGAUUCCUUCAAAUCCAACCUAAAUCAAAGUUCUAAACCAAUCAAUUUGGUUCUAGAAGCUACAAAUCAAAAAUCCCCAUUUUUAGCCCUAAAACUCAAAAUCUAGGGUUUCAUCUAGUAGAAGAUAUUAAAACUUGAUCCAAAAGGGAGAUUUAGCUUACUAACCUCACAAGAUGCCCAAAACCAAGUUCUAAGCCAAGUGGAGUUGAAGUUUGAUCCUCCAACAAGCUCCAACCAAGAUCUCAACCUUCUCCAAUGGUGGAAAUCCCAAAAAAAGCAAGAAGGAGAAGAAAAGAGAGAUCAAAACCACUAAAAACCCACCAAAAAAAGAGAUCAAAUCAAGAGGGGAAGACUCACCUUGCUCUCCUCUGGUUAGGGCUCAAAAAGAGCAGCAAAGGGGCUGGGGUAGUUUAUAAAGAGUAUUGCAACAAUUGCAAAAAGACCCCUCCACGAAAUCUGCCCAGAGGCAUUGUGUACCGGUACACGGGAAAGUGUACCGGUACACUUCCUGCGAAACAGCCCAACCCGAGCCUCGGGUUGGCAGAAAAUCUAAUGUGUACCGGUACAACCAUCAAGUCGUACCGGUACAAAUUCUGUACCGGUACAACCAUCAAGGCUGUACCGGUACACAGCCUGGCUGAGGCUAAUCAGAGAGUACUCCAACAAUCCAACCUUUUGGGAUUUUGGUACAGGUUUAAACCCUCAAUUCUCAGGAUGCGAGCCAUAGAUCGGAACGCUGUCUACGAUCCUUCAGAAAGUCUGAGAUGGCUCGACACACAGAUCAAACACUCGAACCUCGCAAUUUGCAAAGGUCCAGUGUGCUACAUACUCUUUUCUUAUGACUUCGAUAUAAAUUUUGUUUUCCAUUGUAAUCACAUCCUCUCGAGAAGAUUCAGAUGUUCCAGAGCAAUUAGCCAAUUUGUCUUUAGCAUCAACCUAACAAUAAAUUUUGUUAACAAAUUUAUAGAAAGCAUCAAUUUAGACAAUAUGAGAGGACAAGUUUCCUUUAGCAUUUUAUGAUCAAAAGUAUAGAAAGCAUCAACUUACAAUAGCAAUACAAAGAAAGUUGUAACAACCUAUCAUUUAUUCAAGGGUUUUGGAAAGCUUUUAUAUUCCAUAAUUAUGAAAGAUAAAAAACCAUCAGCAACAUUCCCAUCGACUAUCCAAGAGCUCUAUAAUAUUUCAUGGUUAGGAAUUUAAAUUAAGAAAAUAACAAUGAUUUGACCUAUAGACUAAAAUGUUGCAUAGAACUAUACUAAAAGAAUCCAUUAACUUAGACAUGCUAUCUAGCUAGGUUAUAGACAUAUAGUAAAUAUAGAGUUGAAAGCUAACAAACAGAGUAGUAAAAUUACCAUUAAUUUUUUCGCAUUGUCACUUAUAAAUGAUCUAUUUUUUUUCGUGUGAGUUAGUUCGAACAUCUCAACAAGUCUAGGUACUCUGCCAGUUGUAUCUUCCUGCAAAUAUCAUAAUGUAGACAAGUAUAAGAAUGUUGCAAUAACAUAAGUUUUACAACAAUCAAUAAAAUAAAUAGUUACAAUUUCUUUCUCUUUUCGUGCAAAGCUUUUGGAUCCUGAUGUAUGUGUGUAUUUCUGUUUGGCUCGACUUUCUUUGUAAGGACCGAGAUUUUUGCAAUGUAGCUAAACUCUCAGUUGAUGAUGUUUUUGUGUGUAAUUUAAUUACAAAAGCACUCGUCAAGUUUCGGGAGAAACGAGUUAAAACGGAGAUUUUACGCGAUUUUCAAGUUUCACUUAAAGUGAAUAGUAACUCAGUUUUCCGGAGAAGACACGGUGCGAAGUUGGCUUCUAGUGCGUAUCGGACUCCGUUCAUAGCAGUCCAAUAGCUCGUUUCGACCGGUUCAGCUAUUCUAGAACUGAUGACGCUGACGGAUUUUGAGUUUGAUGCACGGAUUUUGAGAAAAUCUAAAAAUACGUGUUUUAUAUGUAUUUGUGCGUAGUUCUUCUGUUGGAGAGAUGGAUCGGAUUUCGUUGCGAAUCCGCGAUGGAUCGAGGCGAAACGAAAUUGUAGCUUUGUUGUCUCUAUUGUACUGAUCACACUGGUACGAUCCGUUCGCAAAUCUGACGGACGGAUCUACGGAGAUUGUGCAUUGAUCGAGGAGAGGUUGGUGAUGGCAAAACGGUAUUUUCGUAAAAAGUGCGACAUUUUAUGUACCGUUUUACGUGAGAUCGCACGUGGAGGGGUAUUCUCGCGUUUUACACGCGCUGUAAGGGACUUAGUACCAAAUACUGAAGUUUGAGGGGCUUUUUCGCAAUUUGCACCUUAUAUAUAUAUAGUGUAUCUAGGGUUUUCUACCUUGAAAUCCUAACCCUAGACCCUAGCCGCACCUUGCCAUCUUCUACUCCCUCCUCUGACUGCACAGUGCGCUCCCCAGCCGCCGGCGCACGCUGCCGGUCGCCGAAGAAUGAGGUUCCAUCUCCCUCUCCAUCUCUCUCUCCAUCUCUCUCUCUUUUCUUCUCGGGUUGGAGCCCUAGUCGAGGCUGCAUUGCCUCCCUAUUCCCUGCCGGCGUCGCCCUGACCCUAUCGGAGCUUCCCCCGACCAGUCGCUGCCGCCUGCCGCCGUCGCCUGCGCCGCCGCUGCUGGUUCUGCAAUCUGCGGCCGCCCCAGCCCGAGCUCGGGCUGAGGCUUGUGUGCGGCCUCCCCCUUGCGUCGCCGCCGCCCCGGACCAACCGUGAGGCACCUCCCCGACCUCAGGCCGUCGGCCGCUGCCGCCCCGAGCCGCCCAGUGCGCCGCCGCCGCCACCUCGGCCAGCCCUCAGCCGUCCCUGUCUGCUCGGGCCGAGGCAAGCCUGCGGCUUCCUCCUCGCGCCACUGCCGCCUGGGACCACCCGUUCCGCCUGCUGCCGACCUUGGGUGAUCCUCCUCCGCCGUCUCGGAGCUCCCCGGCCGCCGCCGUGGCCGCUUGUACCCGCGAAACCCGAGCUUUAGCUCGUGCGGGCUCAAGUCUCUCCGCCGUCACCGCCGCCGCUUCUCGCCGCCAACUGAGGUGAGCAUCGUGUUCCUCACCUCCCCCACAUCCAUCCCUGACCCGCACGCAUGCCGCAAUGCCGCCGGAAGCCGGCCGGAGAGGGCUUGCUCCGGCCAAGCCCGAAAUAGGGCUUAUUUGAGUGGGUUUAUUGUUCUGAGCUUCUUGAGCUUCCCUGAUCUCUGCGGAAGGGAGCACGAUGAUUGUAGCAAAUUGCUGAUCAUCGUGCUCACCUUAAAUUCUGUCGGGGAGACUCCGUUCCGCUGUUUCUGCGGUGUCGACCCGAUUGAGCCUUUUCGAUUGAUGUUCCAUGCUUGCGCGCGUUUUUUCGGCGAUCCGAGGCUGUUCCGAUGCCUCCGGAGGUGAGCACGGUGAUCGAUGGUUAGUGCUGAUCACAGUGCUCACCUCACUUUGGAUCAACAUUGUCCGGUUAGCCCUGUUUGGCGCGAUCUUCCCCGACUGCGCGCUGUUCACAGAACUUCGGGUUGCUCCCGUGCCUCCUACAGUGAGCCGAUGUGCUCCGGACUAUGAGCAUGGCCUCCGGCACAUCGAGACAUGUCAAUACAUGUCUCGGUGGAACUUAGAAGUCCUCGGUUUGCGUGAACGAGCUAUUUUAUUGCCCGAUUUACAUAAAAUAUUGGGGAAGAAGGUAACUCGUGACACGAGUCGGUGAGUUUCGGGACACUUAGUGAGUCCCGACGACGUCCCAGUGUGGUUUUCGGGACUUCCGGCGAGUUACGGUAUUCGAUAUCCGAUCUUCGUGAAAUUGUUUGUGGGGUUGUGGUUACUGUGGUUCUUAGUGGUGGGUUAGAUACUAACCCGGUGGACCCUCUAUAGGUCCUGUCGACAUUCUUUUGCAGUCAGGAGACAAACGCGACAUCCUUACAGGUGGGUACUUCGAUCCGACGUCGGUACAAUGGUGCACGCUUGGUGAUGGUUUCUUACCCUUACUCUUCUGUUGUUACUAUCGCAUAGUAUAUUGAGCCUUGCACCCUUGUUUAUUCGUUAUACUCUACUCGUUGUUUGCAUGCUUAGUAUCCUGAGUAUGAGUAGAGUAGUUCUAUCUACAUGCAUAUCUGUUGACCUAGUUGGUCUGUUGUCGCAUUCCGUAUUCUUUGACCUAGUUGGUCGAUUGUUGCAUUCCGUAUCUGUUGAUCUAGUUGGUUGGUUGUGCAUUCCGUAUCUGUUGACCUGGUUGGUCAGUUCUCGUACUUCGUAUCAGGGACCUUGUUGGUCAGUUGGACUCUGUGGACCUUGGGUCGAGGCAACACAUCGACUCUCUUGUCAUGUGUUUUGAUCUGGUUGAUCGUGGUUUAGCGUUGUACGCCCUUGUUUCUGGCUUCGGCCUAGGCACCGGCUUCAGUCGGGUUUUGUAUUGAGCAUACCAGCAUGACUUAGUCACAGCACUUGGGGGUGUUCACGACACCGGGUCGGUUUGGCCACCGACCGGAGGUGUGCUUAUCCGGAUGGAUCGUCCUGUGGGGCAGGUGAAUCAGGUCGGUGCAGGUUAGUGAUAGGCAGCGCUUGAGGUAUGCGGACCAAUAUAGCAGGUACCAGAUUGGGUAUAUUUGGACUUCUUGUCCGGUUGACGCAUAUGACUAUAGUAGCGGUUGUUGCAUGUAUACUUACCGUUCCUUCUUUACAGUUGUCUUACUACUAUAGUUUUGUUGCAUAUAUACAUUCAGUUGUUCAUUACAGUAGCAGUAGUUGUACUUCUUUCAUAUAUAUGUCUCUUUCAUUCAUUAUUAUUGCUACUGUAUUUCUACUGACCCGUACUGUUGUUUAGCUCUUCCUAAUCCGGUGAGUACUCUUCGCCUUCAUCGGCUUGCGGUACCCACUGGGAGGGAAGACAUGUUUACAUGUUCUCACCUUCCCCACCAUUUUUCAGGUAUUGCGGGCGGUGAGAGUCGAGACGAGAUGUGAGACACGUUCGUAGCGGUCGAUAGAGCUUCCGACCCAGGUUAUUCGGUUUAGUUUUUACCCUUACUAUUAUGUUGAUAUAGCUCAGAUAGUUUAUAUGGUUCAGUAUUUUUAUUACAUUUGAAAAUGUGGGUUUUCAUGAAUGUAAUAAAGGGAUUUGUGAAAUUUAUGAAAAGAAAAAUAGUUUUCUACCCCUCGUGAUAGCGCGUUUUAAAAGAAAAGGUUUCCGUAUGGGGAACAGCUUUCAAAAGAGUUUUCUUAUGGUUUUUAUGUUUAAACACUAAAUAAUAAAUAUUUGGUGAAUGGUGAAUGAAUGUUGUGUAUUGUAUAUUCAUGUAGUGUGGUUGUAUCUUGGUUAUACUCUGUUUGAAAAUUUUGUACUUGUGCGACGCCGUGCAAAUACAGGGGAGACUCUGUCCGUGUGAACAGUGAACUCCCUGUAUUUGUGGCGGGUCUGGCAUACCCUGGGGUCAGGUUUUCAAAAAAAAAAAAAAAUUUCCGCUAUGUUUUAACCUAAAAGGGACCCCGGGGCGUGACAUUCUUUGGCUAACUUCUCUCGUUUCUCCCAUUUAAAAGAUAAUAAAAAAUUAGUCAACAGUACAUCCAUACUAGAAAUUUCAUAGUAAUUAAAGGAAAAAAGCAUAGUAAUGCCAUAUUUGGUCAAUAAUACUUACUCUACCAAUCAAGUAUUCCUCCACACCACCACAUACAACAUCAUAGCAACAAACCAUUACAUAAGAAAUAGGGCUUACUUGUGAAGCUAGGAACAAGGAUGCAAACUAUUCUCGUAUUUCUACCACCCAUGCAUGAGACACUUGUAAUGAUUGAAAUGAAAAAUAAUUGAACCUUGAUAAAGAAAGAACUAAAAAUUAAUGAGCUUAUAUUGGACUUGGUUACAUGGAAAGUGCGUUCGACGAUUGCAGCAUUGACCAAGGAUCCGAGGAAAGCAAGGGCAAAAGCUAGCAUGAACAUAUAGUGUGUCAUGUUUAAGAUUUGAAACAAUAGAACUAAUUGAUAUAGAAAAGAUAAAUGAAGAAGAUGAUGACUUCUUUCUUAGAUAAUUGUAUCUUGGUGUGGCACAAACCAUUAGUUAUCUUUAUAUAGAUCCUUGAAAUGCAUACUGAUAAGGAAACAAUAAGAUAUAUAAACAACGCAUAAAGAAGUAGUUGAUCACAUUUUCGGCAUUUAGAAUCAUUAGAUACCGAACUGAUUUGAAAUUCCAAACUAAUUAAUAAUUUUGACCAUUCUUCAAAGGUGUAUUUAUCUAACAAACAUAGGGAGUAAUAUACGCAAAAGAUCGUAAAACCUCUCUUAGUAACACCUCCACCCAUCCUUUAUUCCUGCGAAGCCACCAUUAGUUUAAAAACCCAAAAAAGCAAACCCCACACAAAACUACAACUUCACUAUCAGUUAAGUAACCAACAUGCACCGAUAGUAGAUAGUAGAAGCAGUAGUAGUAGCUAAAUAUCCUUUGUUAUUCUCAUCUGUUUUUCUUCAUGUACGUUCAACGUGCAUGUGUUAAAAGUAUCUGGUUGGUAGUAGAUAGUAGAAGUAGUAGUAAUAGCUGUAACUUAAUUAAUUGCUGAAACCAUUAGUAGUAGUAGUAGUAGUAGUAGAACUAUAGUAGUAGGUACUAAGAGGGCCUAUUUUAUAAUAUUUUUCCUGCCACAGAACAUAAUAAUAAGCANAUCUUUUUUUUCCUAAUAUUUUUCCUGCCACAGAACAUAAUAAUAAGCAUCAUUAGAGCUCUCAUAGCUAGGUUAUCAUUUGAUUGAGAGAAUGAGAAAAAAAACACAAAAACAAAAACAAAAAACAAACUAAUGGUGCUGUUAUUUCCAAGUAGAGAUUACAAUGUCUUUUUCGUGUGGAUUCGAUAGAUUGUUAUUUCCUACUAAUUCCAUCGUGCCUUUGGACUAAUUUAUUAAGUAGGUAAAUCUCCUUGUAAGUAGCCUAUGGUACGUAAUCAUGUGAAUUUUAUUUGGUCCUUGAGGUAAUAGCAAAUUAAUUGAAAACGUAUUAAGAAAAGAAAUUAUCUGAAAUGGAUUGUGAAUUUACUAUUCUCCUUUUUCUUUGUCUUCUUCUCUCUCAUACAUCGAUCAUUAAAAGUCAACCAGAGUAUAGAAAGCAUUAUCUAGAAAUAAAGCAUUGACACCAUUACAUGACAAAAAUAAAUCAUACCUUGGCAACAUCAGAGUAUAAAAAGUCAACCAGGCUCAACCAUUGCUGCUUUGCUACACCAGGAGGCACAUUCUUACUAAUCUCUUCUUUUGGUUUUAUUCGGUCAAAAUGCUUGGCCUUCAAUUCAACUUUGUAGUCUUUCCAUUUCUUGUUUAAAGAUCUCAUGACAAAGGCUCACCCUUUCUUUGAUUGAAAUUGAAAUUUUGACUGCAAUGAAAAUAUACACAAAAUUAAAAAAUAUAUAUAUAAUAAGAUGGUUAUAUAAACAUAUGUAAACAGUGUAAAAUGUGUCAAAUACCAUGGCAAAAGACAAAGCUUCAUUUUUUAGUGAAUUGGCAUUCGUCUCCAAUUAAUAUAGUUUAGAGGGCAGAAUUGACCAUUUCGUGCAACUAUUCUGCAAAAACCAACGAGCAACCUUGCCUCCUUAUUUAUGGGUUUCCCUCUUUUGUUAAAUCGAACUUGAAUACGCCAAUUCUCAUCCAUUUCCCAUAUCUCCUUUAAUGUUGUACGACCUCUCUUUCUUUCUCUUUUUCCAUCGUCAUGACUACAAAAAAGUCAAUGCUAUAAUUAGACUUUAAUUACAUAUAGCUUAGCUUGAUAGAAAUAGUGUCAUCAAAGUAAAAUGACCCACAAAAAGAAAGAUAUAAGAUAAUACAAAAAUUCUAGGGAGAAGAAUCUAUGAAAAUCCUGCAAAGGCAUAUUGUAUUCCAAUCAACAGCAUAUGAACCGUUGCAUUCCAAUCAACAGUUUCAUUAUUUCAGACCUAAAACUCCUUAACAAGUAUCCUAAUCGAGAAUCUGAUUUUUAUUAUUCUGAUGUUGUGUCAAAGAUAACUUAUAGUAGACAACUAGAGAUAGAAAAUCACUCAAAACUGUUCAUACUGGUCCACACAUUCACAUUACCGAAAAGAAACCAUUUCCAUUUAAUUAGGAGCAAAAUAUCAAUUGUUUUCAACUAGGAGAUCAUGAAGCGAUCUCAGUAUUCAGGAAAGUAGGUGUUAACACACUUGUAAGGUACCGGACUUUUAAAACUACGAAGUUACGGUGUACAUUUAAAUGGUUCCGGUGAGGUUGCGAUGGAAUGUAACAUACCGGAUUUUGAGUAUAAAGGUGAAAAUAAAUAAAAAUAGUAUGAGAUACUAUUUUAUUGGGUUUAGAGAAGUGAAAUAUAGAUUGGAAAUGACCUGUGCUGAAAUCGGAGCGAAAACAGAAGAUUUAGAAUUUUCUGUGAGAAACGGGGCAGAUAAAUUAGCAGAAAAUGCACAGUGUCAGAAAAUUAUGAAAACUGUAGGAUAUGUCAGAAAUAUUUUUAUGAGGCUAGAUUUAAAGUUUCAUACCAUUCUGACACCCGUAGAGUGAGAAAUCAAAUCCGACAGUUAUCUGAUUAAGAUUACAGUUCGGCACAGUUUUCGGUGACCAAACGGGGUCGAAACUGAGAACUUAAGAUAUAUCCUUACUCAGCACGUUAAACUGAGCCUGCCUGUCAAAUUUGAGCUCAAACGGACAUUCAGAAGGGCUCCAACGAAACUUAUCAGAUUAGGGACUAAACUGGAAGGUUGAAUAGUUGAGGGGCUAACUUGUAAAAAGGGAUUAAAUCCCUUUCUUCUCCUUCCUCAGCCGAAUGCAACCCGCACACACACACAACACACACGCAUACAUGGAAAGGAAGAGAGAGAAAACUUUUUUUCUUCUCUAGAUCUCUCCAAAAUGAAUGGAUUGGUGGAGAUGAAAUUGGAGUGGAUGUCUUCAUCUUCUUCAUCUUCUCAUGGUUUUGGAGUUAGUUUGAGAGGUAAUCUUCGAUGCCCUUUAUGGUGAAUUGUAGGGCUUCAAUUAUACUCUUCUAAAUAUGGAUUUAUUGAGAUCUAUGAUGUAAUAGAUGAUUGUUGCCUUAAAUACACGAUCAAUUUAAUGAUUUAUUGGAGUAGUUUGAGAGGUAAUCUUCCGAUGCCCUUUAAUGGUAGAAUUGUAGGGCUUCAUUAUAUACUCUAAAAUGGAUUUAUUGGAUCCUAUGAUGCUUAAUAGAUAUUGUUGCUUAAAUCAGCCGAUCAAAUUUAAUGAUUUCUUGCCUAGUUAUAACCUAAGCUUCUAAAAUGCAAAUUUUGCUAUUAGUAGGCGUUUGAUCUCGUUUGACCUCCGUAACCUAAUUGAUAGAGUAAACGAACACGUUGGCGAAGACGGUUCGGCGAUUCGUCGAGCGGUGCGAAGUUAUUAAAGAAGGACGUUUAGGCUUCAUAUUUCCGCCUGGAGGGCCGAGGCGACGUCGUAAAUCAUGGAAUCGGAUUUGAGGCACGUAAAACAAAACGGAAGACCCUUUUGCCCGAGGCCUACGAUUCGAUGGCGGGUUGAGUGCGCAAUUGCAAGUUCGGACGGAACACCGAGAUGCCGCGGGAGGCCGAUUGCAAGCUAUCGACAAAGCAAUCGGAAUGCCACUACAGGUGGGUAAUGUGCUUACCGAAGCCGGACGUAGGUCGCCUUCAUGUCGAGAAAAUAUGAUUUACCUAGUUAUGAUUAAUGGUGUUAAAUGGCUAUUAUGAUGCAUAUAAUGUAAUUGCUAGAUGUUGCAUAUAAUGUAAAUGCAUGAUGACAUGAGGCAUAUAUUAUAUGAUGUUGACAUAUCAUGAGAGGCUAGUUAACAUAUAUAUACAUGAUAGGGUAUUGGAUAGCUGCAUUUCUGUUCUUGCAUGAUCCUUAGUAGUGUAGCAACAUGAGUUGAUAUUUGAGUCAGGAUGCAUGAGAAUAGAGGAAUGGUGACCUAGAACCCUUUAGAGAUAAGUUAAAUAAUAACUUAAUCUUGCACUGUUGAAUAUGAUGAUAUAUGACUAAAUAGUCGAGGUAUUACAUUGUGACGAGUGGGAUACAACCAAGUAAACAACUUGACGAGUGCCAUUAGAACUUAGUGUUAAAAGAACACCUGUGCAUGAUGGUCCUAGUGACAAGAUAUUCUCGUUGGACACAGAACUGAUCAUACUCAUUGUCUGUUCCCAGCUUGUGAUGGUCGCUCCACACAAGUAGUGCGCUCCGGAGUUCGUCACGUGGGAUAGCCUAUUUGGGGUCCCGUGGGAUAGGGAUAGCCUAUUUGGGGUCCCGAGGGAUAGCCUAUGUGGGGUCCCGCAGACGGUCUCGGAUUCGUAGUUUGAGUCACGAGGGAUGGCCUAUGUGGGGUCCCGAUGACGGCUCCCUACGAAUCGAGAUGGCUCGCCAGUAGAUUGGGUAAUGUACUCACGAGAAUUCUACAAAUUAGGCAUGAGCGAUAGUCGAGUCCUAGUAGAGUGGACAUUAGGCUGAGGUGCAAGUGAGACGUCCUUCGCCUCGAGCCUGGCUUGUGCGGUACUCCGCAGACGAUUGACUCAAGAUUGAGUUGGGCGAUUAGCUUUGUAAAGGUAGAUGAAACUUUAUGACAAAAGCGGUAAAGGACAGAAAACCUUAAAUGCCAAUUGGAUGAAAGUAGUAAUCGAUUGAAUUUCUAGUUGGUUGUAUAGCUGUAUUAUUGCAUGAUCUUCAUAUUGCAUAUCGCGAGGCAAUGCAUGGUAUUGUGAGUUGCAUAAUCUUAUUAUCAUAUCUAUCUGUUUAUUGAACUAACUUGCAGUGUCACGCCCCGAGCCCGAUCCCUUUUGGCCGGUUCGAGAGCGUCAAACAGACGCCGAACGGACAGAGCUUCCCCUGUCCGCCCAAGGCUCAACACAAGUAUCAAUAGAGUACAAUUUGCAUAAGCGGAAGCAUACACGAUGGCUAGCGCGAGGGCAAGCAAUAGCCAAGGCGAAAGAAUUAACAAUUCAAUAUACAAGUAAUAUGACUAAAUUUAAAUCACAUAUAUGCAUCCAACUAUAAUCGAGUUGUUCACAUUCUUGCAUUAUUUCUUUUUACAUCUCAUUUCACCCAAAAUAUAACUUUUGACAUUUAAAAUCAAGAUUCUUUACAUCAUUCAUUAAAGCAAGUUCGUGAUACUAAAAUCAUCAAAUACAAAAGAUGAUAGUAAAGGGUAUGCAACUACAAAAUGAUAAGCAUCUCGGGCGGUCUCUAGUUAGGGCGCGAUGCCCUUGCCCCGAUCGUCUACCAUCUCGCUGGGUCCCGGCACUGUGAAAUAGGGGUGUGAGAACUACAAUAAAGUUCCCAGUGGGUUCGGCAACCAACCACGCCGACUAUCCCACUAGGUCUAAUCAGGCAUAAUAAAAUGAAAGGAAGUAAGUAACCAACUAACAGAUGCAACUAAUAUGCCUGAACGAUAUAAAAUGAUAUGCACAAUGUAAAGCUCAUGAUGAAUGCAAGGUCACAGUGUCAAUACCCAAUCUCUUGGCUAACCCGUAGGUUUCGCCCUCAACAAACUCACCAACUCAAAAUCCCAAUGAUCGGGGAGAUACUCGCUACACCCGAUGGGACCGCCCUCUGGGAAGAUACUCUCUACACCCAGUGAUGUCGACUCCGGAGCACAUCACCCGAGGGGGAGCUACCACAACCUCGAGCAAGGACUAAAGUGAGUACGAUCAAUGUAACAUACCAGAUUUUAAAUAUAAAAGAGAAAAAUAAAUAAAAAUAGUAUGAAAUACUAUUUUAUUGGAUUUAAAGAAGUGAAAUAUCGGUUGGGAACGACCUGUGCUGAAAUCGGAGCGAAAACAGAAGAUUUAGAAUUUUCUGUUGGAAACGGGACUGAUAAAUUAGCAGAAAAUGCACAGUCUCAGAAAAUUAUGAAAAUUAGCGGGGAUGUCAGAAAUAUUUUUAUGAGGCUAGAUUUAAAGUUUCAUAUUUUUCUGACACCCGUAGAGUGAGAAAUAAAAUCCGAAAGCUAUCUGAUAAAGAUUGCAGUUCGGCACAGUUUUCGGUGACCAAACGGAGUCGAAACUGAAAACUUAAGAUAUAUUCUUGCUCAGUACGUUAAACUGAGCCUGCCUGUCAAAUUUGAGCGAAAACGGACAUCCGGAAGGGCUCCAACGAAAUUUAUCAGAUUUCAGGCUGCCCGUAGUGAAUAGUGUGUAGUUGAGGGGCAAAAUGGUAAAAUGGGAUUAAAUCCCUUUUGCUUCUUCUUCCUCCCAGCCGUAGCAGCCCAAACCGCACACACACACACGCGCAUGGAAGGGAAGAGAGAAGCCUCUCUUUCUCUCUCUAAAUCUCUCCCAAAAAGAAUGGAUUUGGUGGAGAUUGAAGCUUGGAGGUGGAUCGCCUUCGUCUUCUUCAUCUUCUCCAUGGUUUGGAGCUCAUUUUGAGGUGAGCUUCUUGAGCCCUUUAAUGGUAGAUCUUUAAUGCUUGGUUUAAAUACCUUAUAAAUGGAUUUAGAGGAGUCCUAGCAUGCUAUCUAGAUGAUUAAUGCUUGAAUCAUGGAUCAAUUUAGUGAUUUCUUGCAUAGUUGUAACCUAGGGCUCCAAAAUGCAAACUUUCAAAAUAUGAGGGUUUGAUCUCAUUUGACCCUUCGUAAACCUAAUUGCUAGGUAACGAAACGCGUUGGCGAAGACGGUUCGGCAAUCCGACGAGCCGUUACAAAGUUAUUAAAGAAAUAGACGUUUAGGCUUCGGGUCCGCCGGGAGGGCCGAGGCGACGUCGUAAAAUCAUGGAAAUGGAUUUGAGGCAUCGUGGCACAUAACCGAAGACCUAUAAUUUUCGGGGCUGCGAAGCGGAGCACGGUUGAGGCGCAGUUGCAGUAUCGGGCCGUGCCGGAUACGGGUGCCGCGGGAGGCCGAUUGCAAGUGUCGACAAGCAAUCGGAACGCGAAUUAAGGUGGGUUGUGUUUACCGAAGCGACUAGGUCGCCUUUAUGUCUAAGAAACUAAGAAUCCAUAUUGAUGCAUAUAAAUGUAAAUGAAGCAUGUAAAUGAUGCAUGUAACUAAAUAAUGCAUGUUGAUAGUAUGAUGUAAAUGCUAAAUAGAAUGCAUUAUGAGCAAGUUACAUAAUGCUAAAUAAUGUAAUGUAGAAAUGCUAGAAUGCAUUAUGAGCAAGUUACAUAAUGCUAAAUAAUGUAAUGUAGAAAUGCUAGAAUGCAUAAUGAGCAAGUUAUAUGAUGCAUGUUUAUAGUACGAUGUAAAUGCUAAGUAGAUGCAUAUAAAUGAUAUAUGAGAUUAUAAACGCAUGAUUAGCAUUAUGAGAUCAUAGAUGCAUGCUUAGCAUUGUGAGAUUAUAUAUGCAUAUGAACUUGGCUGAUAACUCUAGCUUGAAUAGAGAGAUAACAUUGAAAAAUGAGAAUUGAUGACUCUAGAAUGAGUAGAAUGCUUAAUUGGACAAUUAGUAUGUGAAUUAGAUCGAGUGGCAUCUAACUUAGUGUUAAGGAACAUAGGUCGUGAGUAGACCUAUAAUCAAAUAGAUCGAGUGGCAUCUAACCUAGUGUUAUUAAACAUAGGUCGUGAAAUGAAAAGUACUUAACCUAGAGUCAAGUGAACCAAGGUUAGAAAGAAUAAUGAUCCUAGUGUAAUAAACCUAGGUUAAGAAUGUGAAAGCAAUAAAUCUAAUGGGUGAACUUAGGUUGAGUAAAGGCUUAGACCUAGAGAGGUCAGUUCCAUAGGGUUAAGACCAACCCCUAUGUGAUCUGAAAUGGAUUCCGGAAUCCCAAGGCUAAAAGGAUACACCCAAAGUGGUGUCGGGUGUGUGCGAUGAUUGCGCCGCCCAAGGGCUAAAGAACCUUUGUCGUGGCGUGUGCGACGAUUUCGCCGCCGGAUGGUUAGCCAGUUUGUGGAUCCUACCGCCUGUUGACUGAACCACUGUCGUGGUGUUUGUGCGACGAUUUCGCCGCCGGGUGGCUAAGUCAUGGACCUAGGCCGUUGUUGGGUGAGGUGCGAUUCGUCCGCCGCCAGACGGCUAGGACAGGAGUACGGUGAGCUGUUGCCAGCUGAGGUGCAUGUGAGAGUUCCUUCACCUCGAGCUAGACAGUGCGCGGACUAUCCGCGAUUGAUUGACUCAAGACCGAGUCGGGUGGCAUAGAGAACUAAGGUAAGAGAAACCUUAGGAAAGAAUGGCCAGUAGAAAAGUGCGACAAAGUGUAAAGAAUAAAGAAUAAGUAAAGAAUAAAGUUCGGCUAAGGAAUAAGAAUAGCUGAUUAGUAAAGAAAGGUUACAAGUAAAGAAUAGCUAAGAGCUAAAAGUAAUUAAAUGACAAGAGUAAAGAAUGAUUAAGAAUAUAAGUAGCGUUAAAGUAACCUACUUGCAUGAUUACAGGUAUUGCAUAUUGCAUUUCGUGAGGCAUGACAUGUAUUUCAAUUGAAUAUAUAUAUCUGUUGUAUAUUGUUGAACUAACAUGUUGCAGUGCCUCGUUAGACCUGUUGGUUGAGCUGGUUCUCUUGGGUGGCUAAACCCACUGAGGACUAUGGACAAUAGUCUCACCCCCGUGUUGCUGUUUUGGGGGUACAGGUACACACGUGUGCGGCGCGGCGGCGCAAGGCGAGGGCGUAGUUCUGCAGAUAGCGCCCUACCCCAGAGACCAGAGCUAGCAGUACCCCAUCUAUAUAGCUUAGGGGUAAAGGAAAUGAAAAGAAUACAAUGUAUCAAACUUGUAGUAAGUAAAUGUUGUAAUAACUUAGAUUGCAUUUGGAUGAAAAAGAAUGGAAACUGUGAUGUAAAAACUAUGAAAGUGAAUGAAUGUAAUAACUUAGGAUGUGUUUAUGUUGUAUGAUACCUUCCACUUGAAAUCUUGAUUGAUAUCCGUUCCUGGUUGGAACCUUCGUGAAUUGUAUUGAUUGCGAUGCUUUGAAUGUACAGGGGAGACUCUGUCCGUAGUACAAGGGAAACCUUGUCCAUUCGGCGAUGUCGGCGGCGCCGGGACCUUGGCCAAAUAGGCGGGUGGUCGCGGGCUGUGACAGUUGUGGUAUCAGAGCAUAAAGUAGAGAAUGGGAAUGGCUUAGACUGACCUAGGAGACCCUAGGAUAGUAAAACCAUAGAAGAAUAAGGCUCGUGAGAGACGAGGACUCAUGAUUCGUGGCGAAAGGUUAAUGGAUUGGGUUGUGUUGUAAACCUCUAAGACGGAUAUUAGAGGUAGACUCGAGGUGUUGUUUAUUCUCAGCCAAGGAUGUUCAUGUUGGGCGUACGACAACAUGAAACCGAGUGAUGUGAAUAAACACCCUUGCGUGACUUUCGCCUGAUUGGCUUUUGAGCCGGUGUUAGUGGUCUCGUGUUCGACCCAAGUUGGUCGAGAACUAAUCGAGUUGUCGUGUUUCAGGAAGCGAUGGCACCGCGUAGGCGAUCUUCUUCCAGAUCGGCGCGGGAGGGGACAAGUGGUGUUCCCGAGCAAGUCGACGCGAGCGAAGGCGCAGAGCUUCGUGAUCAGUUGGCCACACUCAUUGGAGUGAUGAGGCAACAAGCUGAUGUGGUGCAGAGGCAGCAGGAGGCUGCUAUGCGCCAGGAAGAGCGAAUGGAAAGACUCCAAGAAACGGUGGACCAGCUGGUGGGUGCACCAGCUGCGGCUCGUCGAGAACGGCCGGGAGUCGCGGCGGAGAUGUUCCCGUCGGGGUCGGGCGAUCCGACUCCUGUUAGUUCAGAGGUGGCGGCAGAAAGGGAGCGAGCUUUGGCUGCCCUCAUGGCUUUCAAGAAAUUUGAUCCGCCUACCUUCGAUGGUGAGGAUCCAGAUCCGUGGAUCGUGGAGAUGUGGAUUGAUGCCAUGGAAACGCUCUUCGAGGAUCUGUACACGUUGGAGCGAGACAAGGUAAACCUAGUCGCGCAUUAUCUCAAACAGUCGACGAAGGUGUAGUGGAAAGGCGUCAAGCAUGAUCGACCGCCUAGUCUCCCUCCUAUGACGUGGGAAGAAUUUCGGGGAUUGGUGUUCUCUGCUUAUUUCCCCGAUAGCGAGAAGCGGAAGCUCAAGGAAAGGUUCCUUAAGCUGCGGCAAGGAAGUCGCACGGUCAGGCAAUAGGAGCGGGAGUUUUUCCGUAUCGUGCAUUGUAUCCCAAACGUGGUGCGAGAUGACAAGGACAGGGCCGACUGCUUCGUGCGUGGACUUCAGCCAGAUCUUUACCAGGCGGUGCUGGUACUCAAGUUGCAGAUUUUUGCUGAAGUCCUGGAUCGGGCCUUGUGGAUAGAACAGGGCAACGCCUUUAUGCGGGAAGAGCGAGAGGCAUAUUACAAGGAAAAGGGGAAAGGACGACCGACAGGUGGAUCCAGUAGUCAGUCAAGUUCCCAACGGACUUUGACGAGUUCGCACUCGCGAUCCCGAGCUCCGGGGACAUACCGCAUUCAGUCCUCGGCGAAAUGUGCUAUUUGUGGAGGCCCUCAUUUCCCACGACAGUGUGAGCAACGUGAAGGCAAGUACUUCAAGUGUGGGCUGCCGGGUCAUAUGUGGGACGAGUGUCCGCGUGGUGACGGCCGGGCCUUGACACUGGCGACGGCCCAUCCCUCUCUGGGACAACCUGCAGGUGUGCCACCUGCGGCAUGGUCGGGAGAGCGGCCGUUGAGGACGAUGCAACCAGAGGGUUCGCGACGAGCGCCAGGUGGGCAUCGGUAAGCGACCCGAGUUGCAGAGCCUGCCGUUGCUGACGUCAUCGUGGCAGGUAUGAGUUAAUUGAGCAAGCAUGUGCUUUUACUAAUCUCAAGUUGGUGCAUAGCAUGCAUUUGUUGUUGGUCGGUUGCUACUAAUUAUAUAUUGCAUAGUAGGGACCGAAUAGUCGGGUAAGUAGACGCCCGUACAUGCUUGCAUUGUGAGAAGUGGCACCUGCUGGUGCAAGUAGAAAGCCAAGUGGUGCUAGCUAAUGGCUAGUGAUGAUUCUCCGGUACGGAAUGAGGCUCGUGGAGAACAUGGUCUAGUAAGUGACUCUCGAAAUAAUGGGUUGAAAAUUGUGAGAGUUGAGCCUUGAUGUUGAGGAUACUCGAAAGACACGGGAGUUGAGAAUGUAUUCCGGUAGAUCGAACAGUGAAGGUAGAAUCACUGUUGAGAGAGUAACCGUAUAGUUGCCGAAUACGGGCACGUAGGCCUAGUAGUACCUCAAGUUGAGGUCGGCGAGUCCUGCUCGUGUAGUCGGUGUGCAUAGGCAAGGUUGCCUGAUGCUAGAUUUCGUGGAACGCUUUAGAGGCGUAGAGCGCUCGAGUGUAGUUACUCGUGAAGUGCGGUUUUGAUUCAGCCGGUUGAGUGAAUUGGCAGUAGCACUUUAGCAGGGCUAAGUGUGAAGCGGGCCAUGGAUCACUCGUAGGGCUGGUGGCUCGCACUAGGUACCUGGGGGCCGAUAGAGUGUGUAGCUCUGUAGAGCAUGUCGUUUAGGACGACGACGACGAGUGGUGCUUGAGGAUGACCCGUGCCUGGACCGUUUGUGAACUGUGUAGCCUGGGCCCAUUGGGCAGGCGCAGUCAGCUGUGAGAGACAGCGGCCCGAUACCUACUGGUAGGGCAUAGUGUUGGUCAGGACGGUAGUCCGAGCUUGGACAUAAGUACGUGGAAUGCCACGCGAUAGAUCGUGAGAUUGAUGGCACACCAAGUGUGUAGUGACCCAACCCGAGGACUUGACGUGGUCUAGGAUCUUGGUUGCACCUGGUUGGAGUGUGUGUGAAUUCUCCAAUGAGAAUUUCGCCCAAUGAUGAUUGGAUCUACGAUGCGGGCAAGAGACGCUAUGCGUAGUUGUGACAGGUAUAGGCGGUAGGCCUACGUAAUGAUUAUGAUCGUUGGUCCGCCUGUGAAAACCGAUGAUCAGUGCGGCAAGCAACUCUGUUAGUGAGUUGGGCUUGGAUUCACGAACGGAGGGUUCGUGUGAUGUUGAACGUGGCUUGUGGUAGUAAAGGAUAAAGAGAAAAGUAAAGUGUUCUCUAGGAGACACUUGAAUAAGAAAUAGCCACGUGAGGGUUGGUGUAAGGAAGUGAAUUCUCGAAAUGCGAGAGUUGGACUUCGCUCAAAAUCGACAAAUUGUCGAGUGGUUGUGCUUCGGAAAUGCCGAAGAGGUCAAAUACACCAAAGGUGCAUUGCAACGGAUCUGCGAGAGCAAGUGUGCAAAAAUCUGCACUUGGCAGAUUUGCUCUCGGGGACCGAUCCCUGUCAAGGAAGGACCGGUCCCCCGUAGCUGGUUGGUGCGAGGUUGCGUGAUGCAACCGGUCCCUUGGCCAGAGGGACCGGUCCCCCGUAUGCGAAACCGGCGAGAAGAGGAAAUUGGCUAAGUCCUGCGAGAGCAAGCUCUCGGGGACCGGUCUCUAGUGGACAGACCGGUCUCCGGGGGACCGGUCCUCCAGGGACAGACCGGUUCCCGUAAGUGUGUUCAGGCUGAAGGCUCUCGGGGACCGGUCCCUGGCAGGGAGAGACCGGUCCCUCUACACAUAAAAUUUUCCAGGCAGGCUGGGUCAUGUUGGAGGAGUUGGAAUUGUUUGAGUUUCGAGGACGAAACUCUUAUAAGGAGGGGAGAAUGUAACAUACCGAAUUUUAAAUAUAAAAGAGAAAAAUAAAUAAAAAUAGUAUGAGAUACUAUUUUAUUGGAUUUAGAGAAGUGAAAUAUCGGUUGGGAACGACCUGUGCUGAAAUCGGAGCGAAAACAGAAGAUUUAGAAUUUUCUGUUGGAAACGGGACUGAUAAAUUAGCAGAAAAUGCACAGUCUCAGAAAAUUAUAAAAAAUUAGAGGAUAAGUCAGAAAUAUUUUUAUGAGGCUAGAUUUGAAGUUUCAUAUUUUUCUGACGCCCGUAGAGAGAGAAAUAGCAUCCGAAAGCUAUCUGAUAAAGAUUGCAGUUCGGUACAGUUUUCAGUGACCAAACGGGGUCGAAACUGAAAUAUUAAAAUUUCUUUGGACUUAUUAAGUAAAACCGAGCAUGCCUGUCAAAUUUGAGCUCAAACGGACAUUCAGAAGGGCUCCGGCGAAAAAUAAACUGCCCGAAGUGAAUAGUGCGUAGUUGAGGGGCAAAAUGGUAAAAAGGGUUUAAAACCCCUUUUCUUCUUCUCCUCCCAACCGUGGCUGCCCCAACCGCACACACCACACACGCAUACACAAGAACACACACACGCAUGGAAAGGAAAGGAGAGAAAUCCCUUUCUCUCUCUAAAUCUCUCCCAAAAUGGAUGGAUUUGGUGGAGAUUGAAGCUUGGAGGUGGAUCGCCUUCGUCUUCUUCAUCUUCUCCAUGGUUUGGAGCUCAUUUUGAGGUGAGCUUCUUGAGCCCUUUAAUGGUAGAUCUUUAAUGCUUGGUUUAAAUAC